This 365-nucleotide transfer-messenger RNA is filed under the name Thermoleophilum album. It matches the Rfam family "transfer-messenger RNA". From Rfam's summary of the family: Bacterial tmRNA, also known as 10Sa RNA or SsrA, is named for its dual tRNA and mRNA-like properties. Its role is to liberate the mRNA from a stalled ribosome. The record is from RNAcentral. Lineage: Bacteria; Bacillati; Actinomycetota; Thermoleophilia; Thermoleophilales; Thermoleophilaceae. RNAcentral also lists the same sequence under 1 other name.
GGGGACGACUGGCUUCGACGUGGGCGUCCGUGGGGGCAGUUGCGAGCCGAGGUUCCCGGUCGGCCUCGUAAAACAACCGGGACAAAAAGCAAGUGCGGACCGUAACCACGAGUUCGCCCUCGCCGCUUAGUUAGACGGUGAGGUGUCGACCCGGCGCUCGGCCCGUGGCGCCGGGACCGGCAUCAGCUAACGGGCUCGCCCGCCCCGGGCGCCUCCGGCGGGGCGGGGACACGAAACGGGGGCUGGUCCCGCGCAAGCCGGCCGGCGCGGCGAGCGCGGGGCGAGAGCGAAGCGCCGGCUACGCUCGUAGACGCUGCCCUGUCACGCGUCCGCGGACCCGGGUUCGACUCCCGGCGUCUCCACUU